UACCAAGUGGCUUAGUGGUGAAGAAUUUGUCUCCCAAGCAGGAGACCUGGGUUUGAUCCCUAGAUUGGGAA
RNAcentral lists this transfer RNA (71 nucleotides) under Ovis aries (sheep). It matches the Rfam family "tRNA". From Rfam's summary of the family: Transfer RNA (tRNA) molecules are approximately 80 nucleotides in length. Their secondary structure includes four short double-helical elements and three loops (D, anti-codon, and T loops). Lineage: Eukaryota; Metazoa; Chordata; Mammalia; Artiodactyla; Bovidae. The record is from Rfam by way of RNAcentral.